Molecule: ribosomal RNA, 322 nt
Filed under: uncultured eukaryote
Lineage: Eukaryota
Description: partial 18S ribosomal RNA
Rfam family: Eukaryotic small subunit ribosomal RNA
Source: RNAcentral
CCCUUAGAUGUUCUGGGCCGCACGCGCGCUACACUGAUGCAUUCAACGAGCCUAUCCUUGACCGACAGGUCCGGGUAAUCUUUGAAUCUGCAUCGUGACGGGGAUAGAUUAUUGCAAUUAUUAAUCUUCAACGAGGAAUGCCUAGUAGGCGCAAGUCAUCAGCUUGCGUCGAUUACGUCCCUGCCCUUUGUACACACCGCCCGUCGCUCCUACCGAUUGAACGAUCCGGUGAAUUAUUUGGAGUAGCUCUGGAAGUUGCAGAACUUCCUAUGUCACGAAAUUUUGUAAACCUUAUCGUUUAGAGGAAGGAAAAGUCGUAACA